This 527-nucleotide ribosomal RNA is filed under the name unidentified nematode Sourhope farm. RNAcentral describes it as "SSU rRNA". It matches the Rfam family "Eukaryotic small subunit ribosomal RNA", at positions 73 to 597 of the family's 1831-position model. Lineage: Eukaryota; Metazoa; Nematoda. The record is from RNAcentral.
CAUUAAUCGUGAAACCGCGAAUGGCUCAUUAUAACAGCUAUAAUUUACUUGAUCUUGACACAAUCCUACUUGGAUAACUGUGGUAAUUCUAGAGCUAAUACAUGCAUUAAAGCUCUGACCUCACGGGAAGAGUGCAUUUAUUAGAACAAAACCAAGCGGCUUCGGCUGUUUCUGGUUGACUCAUAGUAACUGAGCUGAUCGCAUGGUCUUGCACCGGCGACGUGUCUUUCAAGUAUCUGCCGUAUCAACUUUCGAUGGUAGUGUAUCUGACUACCAUGGUGAUCACGCGUAACGGAGAAUAAGGGUUCGGCUCCGGAGAGUUCGCCUGAGAAAUCGCGAACACAUCUAAGGAAGGCAGCAGGCGCGAAAAUUACCCACUCUCAGCACGAGGAGGUAGUGACGAAAAAUAACGAGACCGUUCUCUUAUGAGGCCGGUCAUCGGAAUGGGUACAAUUUAAACCCUUUAACGAGUAUCUAUGAGAGGGCAAGUCUGGUGCCAGCAGCCGCGGUAAUUCCAGCUCUCAAAG